AAAGGUAAGCUACUAAGAGCGAAUGGUGGAUGCCUUGACUGGUAAAGGCGAUGAAGGACGUACUAGACUGCGAUAAGCUACGGGGAGCUGUCAAGAAGCUUUGAUCCGUAGAUUUCCGAAUGGGGCAACCCAAUGUAUAGAGAUAUACAUUACCUAUAUAGGAGCGAACGAGGGGAAUUGAAACAUCUUAGUACCCUCAGGAAAAGAAAUCAAUAGAGAUUGCGUCAGUAGCGGCGAGCGAAAGCGCAAGAGGGCAAACCCAGUGCUUGCACUGGGGGUUGUAGGACUGCAAUGUGCAAGAGGUAAGUUUAGCAGAACAUUCUGGAAAGUAUAACCAUAGAGGGUGAUAGUCCCGUAUGCGAAAAACAAACCUUAGCUAGCAGUAUCCUGAGUAGGGCGGGACACGAGGAAUCCUGUCUGAAUCCGGGUCGACCACGAUCCAACCCUAAAUACUAAUACCAGAUCGAUAGUGCACAAGUACCGUGAGGGAAAGGUGAAAAGAACUGAGGUGAUCAGAGUGAAAUAGAACCUGAAACCAUUUGCUUACAAUCAUUCAGAGCCCUAUGUAGCAAUACAGGGUGAUGGACUGCCUUUUGCAUAAUGAGCCUGCGAGUUGUGGUGUCUGGCAAGGUUAAGCAAACGCGAAGCCGUAGCGAAAGCGAGUCUGAAUAGGGCGCUUAGUCAGAUGCUGCAGACCCGAAACGAAGUGAUCUAUCCAUGAGCAAGUUGAAGCUAGUGUAAGAACUAGUGGAGGACUGAACCCAUAGGCGUUGAAAAGCCCCGGGAUGAC
This 790-nucleotide ribosomal RNA is filed under the name Campylobacter jejuni. RNAcentral describes it as "partial 23S ribosomal RNA". It matches the Rfam family "Bacterial large subunit ribosomal RNA", at positions 1 to 808 of the family's 2925-position model. The record is from RNAcentral. Lineage: Bacteria; Pseudomonadati; Campylobacterota; Epsilonproteobacteria; Campylobacterales; Campylobacteraceae.